Otolemur garnettii (small-eared galago) is the source of this 103-nucleotide small nuclear RNA. Lineage: Eukaryota; Metazoa; Chordata; Mammalia; Primates; Galagidae. The record is from Ensembl.
GUGUUUUGGCAGCACAUAUACUGAAAUAGUAACAAUACAAAGAAGACUAGUAUGGCCCCUGCAUAAGGAUGACACUAAAAUUCACGAAGCAUUCCAUGUUUUU